RNAcentral lists this ribosomal RNA (1851 nucleotides) under Hevea brasiliensis (rubber tree). RNAcentral's name for it is "SSU rRNA". It matches the Rfam family "Eukaryotic small subunit ribosomal RNA". The record is from RNAcentral. Lineage: Eukaryota; Viridiplantae; Streptophyta; Magnoliopsida; Malpighiales; Euphorbiaceae.
ACUGGUUGAUGUCCUGCCAGUUAGUCAUAUGCUUGUCUCAAAGAUUAAGCCAUGCAUGUUGUAAGUAUGAAACUAAUUCCAGACUGUGAAACUGGAAUGGCUCAUUAAAUCAAGUUAUAGUUUGUUUGAUGGUAUCUGCUACUCCGGAUAAACCGUAAGUAAUUCUAGAGCUAAAUACGUGCCAACAAACCCCCGGACUUCUGAAGGGUGAUGCAUUUAUUAGAUAAAAAGGCGACGCGGGCUCUGCAGUUGCUCCUUGAUGAUUCAUGAUAACUCGAACGGAUCGACGGGCUCGUGCCGGCGACUGGCAUCAUUCAAUUCUGCCCUAUCAAAACUUUCGAUGGUAGGAUAGAGGCCUACCAUGGUGGUGACGGGUGACGGAAAGAUUCCGGAAGAGAGAUGAGAACGGCUACCACAUCCAAGGAAGGCAGCGGCGCGCAAAUUACCCAUCCUGACACGGGGAGAGGUGUGCAUAAUCAUCCGGGGCUCUUCGGUCUGGUUGGAAUGAGUUCUUUCCUCGAGGAUCCAUUGGAGGGCAAGUCGUGCCAAGCAUGCCGCGGUAAUUCCAGCUCCAAUAGCGUAUAUUUAAGUAUUGUUUGCAGUUAAAAAGCUCGUAGUUGGACCUGGGUUGGGUCGAACCGUCCGCCUCGCGUGUGCACGCUGUCGGCUCGUCCCUUUCCUGGCCGCGAUGCGCUCCUGGCCUUAACUGGCCGCGGUCGGCCUCCGGGCUGUUACUUUGAAGAAAAUUAGUGCUCAAAGCAAGCCUACUCUCUGGAUACUAUCAGAGUUAGCAUGGUGAUAACAUCCAUACGGAUUCGGUCCUAAUUGGUUGGCCUUCGGGAUCGGGAGUAAUUGAUUAACAGGGCAGUCGGGGGCAUUCGUAUUUCCAUAGUCAGAGGUGAAAUCUUGGAUUUAUGAAAGACGAACAACUGCGAAAGCAUUUGCCAAGGAUUGUUUUCAUUACCAGAAUUUGGGGGCUCGAAGACGAUGCAGAUACCCCGGUCCUCACGUCUCGAACCAAUAAACGAUGCCGACCAGAGGAUCGCGGAUGUUGCUUUUUAGGACUCCGCCGGCACCUUAUGAGAAAUAGUCUUUGAGGUUCAGAGGGGGAGUACAAUGGUCGGGCUGAAACAUAAAGGAAAUUGACGGGUGCGCCCACCCAAAGGUGGGACUGCGGCUACUUUGACUCCAUACAACGGGGAAACUUACCAAGGUCCAGACAUAUAAGGAUUGGACAGACCUGAGAGCUCUUUCUUGAUUCUAUUGGGUGGUGGUGCAUUGGCCGUUCUUAGUUGGUGGAGUGCGAUUGUCUGUUUUAAUUCCGUUAACGGACCGAAGACCAUCAGCCUGCUAACUAGCUAUGUGAUCGGAGGUGUGACCCCGUAUCCGCGGCCCAGCUUCUUAGAGGGACUAUGGCCUUUUAGGCCAAGGAAGUUUGAGAGCAGAUUAACAGGCUCUGUGAUGCCCUAGAUGUUCUGGGGCCGCACGCGGGGCGCUACGAGCUGAUGUAAUUCAACGAGUCUAUAGCCCUCUUGGCCCGACAGGCCCGGGUUAAUUCUUUGAAAUUUCCAUCGUGAUGGGGAUUAAGAUCAUUGCAAUUGUUGGUCUUCACGAGGAACUUCCUAGUAAGGCGCGAAGUCAUCAGCUCGCGUUGACUACGUCCCUGCCCUUUGUACACAUGACCGCCCGUCGCUCCUAACCGACUUGAAAUGGCCGGUGAAGUGUCGGAUCCGCGGCGACGUGGGCCGGUUGUCGCACGCCGGCGGACGUCGGGCGAGAAAGUCCACUGAACCUUAUCAUUUAGAGGAAGGAGAAGUCGUAACAAGGUUUCCGUAGGUGAACCUGCGGAAG